RNAcentral lists this long non-coding RNA (1273 nucleotides) under Sus scrofa (pig). RNAcentral's name for it is "lncRNA (ENSSSCG00040043053.1)". The record is from RNAcentral. Lineage: Eukaryota; Metazoa; Chordata; Mammalia; Artiodactyla; Suidae.
AUGAUCAUGUCUUGGAGUUCCCGUCGUGGCGCAGUGGUUAACAUCAUAAAAUACAGUACGGGGACCCACUGGAGAAUACAUACUGUGAGAAUUUUGUGGCAUAUUAAAAAGACUUGGUUCCUAAAUGAGCUUUUCUUCCCAGUCGUUUUUCUUUUUCUUUUUCAGGCUACACCUGCAGUAUAUGGAAUUUCCCAGGCUACGAGUCCAAUUGGAGCUGCAGCUGCAGACCUACACCACAGCCACAGCAACGCGGGAUCCAAGCCGUGUCUGUGACCUAUACCACGGCUCAUGGCAAUGCCAGAUCCUUAACCCACUCAACAAGGCUAGGGAUCCAACCUACAUCCUCAUGGAUACUAGUUGGGUUUAAGAACCUCCUGAGCCCCAACAGGACCUCCUCUUUCCAGUUCUAAUGACACCAUUUAUGAUGUCAUUUGGUCAUUACAUAUGGUAGCUCAGAAUUAGGCCUGGGAUCAGACAAGUCACUGAGAAUAAGAAUUAUAACACAUGGAGUUCCCGUUGUGGCACAUCGGAAACGAAUCCGACUAGGAACCAUGAGGUUGCGGGUUCCAUCCCUGGCCUUGCUCAGUAGGUUAAGGAUCCGGCAUUGCCGUGAGCUGUGGUGUAGGCCAGGGGCUACAGGUCCGGUUAGACCCCUAGCCUGGGAACCUCCAUAUGCUGCGGGUGCGGCCCUAAAAAGACAAACAAACAAACAAACAAAAAAAGAAUUAUAACACCCAACCCCUGUUAUCUCUUCUUCACUACUUGAUUAUCAUGGACAGAGAGGGGUGGGUGUGUGUGUGUGUGUGUGUGUGUGUAAACAAUAGGAGAGCAGGUGAUCAGGAAAAAAACACUAAGGUGAGGUCAUGAGUGGAUGGUAAACAGAUUUCUCUUUGUAUUCUCUCUUGAUAUAAAAAGAGAACUGCUUGGUUUGUGACAAAAUAGAAAGUUCCUUUAAACAGUGGUCUGCAAAGAGUAGUCUUUGGACCAACAGCACCAGUAUUACUUUGGAAUUGCUAGAAAUGCAAAUUCUUUAGGCCUGGCCUAGACCUUCAGAAUUGGAAGGUCUAGGGGUGGGGGCCCAGCAGUGUGAUUUAAGGAGCUCAGGUGUUUUUACGCACGUUCAAGUCUGAGAACCACUGUUUUAAAAAAACUCACUUAAACCAAGGUUUUUUGAUGGGAAUGUAGGAAAAAAAUGUUCUAGGUUAUUUAGGAUGAAGCAAGUUGGUUUUUUUUGUUUUGUUUUGUUUUUUUAAAUGUCUUUCCUAGGGCAGCA